UCCUGCUUAACACAUGCAAGUCGAACGGUGAUGCCCAGCUUCNGNNNAUCAGUGGCGAACGGGUGAGUAACACGUGAGCAACCUGCCCCCUACUUCGGGAUAAGCCUUGGAAACGGGGUCUAAUACCGGAUAUGAACACGUACCGCAUGGUGUGUGUUGGAAAGUUUUUCGGUGGGGGAUGGGCUCGCGGCCUAUCAGCUUGUUGGUGGGGUAAUGGCCUACCAAGGCGUCGACGGGUAGCCGGCCUGAGAGGGCGACCGGCCACACUGGGACUGAGACACGGCCCAGACUCNUACGGGAGGCAGCAGUGGGGAAUAUUGCACAAUGGGCGAAAGCCUGAUGCAGCGACGCCACGUGAGGGAUGACGGCNUUCGGGUUGUAAACCUCUUUCAGCAGGGAAGAAGCGAAAGUGACGGUACCUGCAGAAGAAGCGCCGGCUAACUACGUGCCAGCAGCCGCGGUAAUACGUAGGGGNCAAGCGUUGUCCGGAAUUAUUGGGCGUAAAGAGCUCGUAGGCGGUCUGUCGCGUCUGGUGUGAAAUCCCAUGGCUCAACUGUGGGCUUGCAUCGGGUACGGGCAGACUAGAGUACAGUAGGGGAUA
This 601-nucleotide ribosomal RNA is filed under the name Streptomyces sp. RNAcentral describes it as "bacterial SSU rRNA". It matches the Rfam family "Bacterial small subunit ribosomal RNA", at positions 42 to 660 of the family's 1533-position model. The record is from RNAcentral. Lineage: Bacteria; Bacillati; Actinomycetota; Actinomycetes; Kitasatosporales; Streptomycetaceae. RNAcentral also lists the same sequence under 1 other name.